Molecule: ribosomal RNA, 254 nt
Filed under: uncultured bacterium
Lineage: Bacteria
Description: partial 16S ribosomal RNA
Rfam family: Bacterial small subunit ribosomal RNA
Source: RNAcentral
UACAGAGGGUGCAAGCGUUGUUCGGAAUUACUGGGCGUAAAGGGCGCGUAGGCGGCCUUCUAAGUCGAACGUGAAAUCCCCGGGCUCAACCCGGGAACUGCGUCCGAUACUGGAAGGCUUGAAUCCGGGAGAGGGAUGCGGAAUUCCAGGUGUAGCGGUGAAAUGCGUAGAUAUCUGGAGGAACACCGGUGGCGAAGGCGGCAUCCUGGACCGGUAUUGACGCUGAGGCGCGAAAGCCAGGGGAGCAAAGCGGG